AGUGAACGCUGGCGGUAGGCCUAACACAUGCAAGUCGAACGGCAGCACAGUAAGAGCUUGCUCUUACGGGUGGCGAGUGGCGGACGGGUGAGGAAUACAUCGGAAUCUACUUUUUCGUGGGGGAUAACGUAGGGAAACUUACGCUAAUACCGCAUACGACCUACGGGUGAAAGCAGGGGAUCUUCGGACCUUGCGCGAUUGAAUGAGCCGAUGUCGGAUUAGCUAGUUGGCGGGGUAAAGGCCCACCAAGGCGACGAUCCGUAGCUGGUCUGAGAGGAUGAGCAGCCACACUGGAACUGAGACACGGUCCAGACUCCUACGGGGGGCAGCAGUGGGGAAUAUUGGACAAUGGGCGCAAGCCUGAUCCAGCCAUACCGCGUGGGUGAAGAAGGCCUUCGGGUUGUAAAGCCCUUUUGUUGGGAAAGAAAAGCAGCAGGUUAAUACCCCGCUGUUCUGACGGUACCCAAAGAAUAAGCACCGGCUAACUUCGUG
Molecule: ribosomal RNA, 492 nt
Filed under: uncultured bacterium
Lineage: Bacteria
Description: partial 16S ribosomal RNA
Rfam family: Bacterial small subunit ribosomal RNA
Source: RNAcentral